This 207-nucleotide ribosomal RNA is filed under the name uncultured bacterium. RNAcentral describes it as "partial 16S ribosomal RNA". It matches the Rfam family "Bacterial small subunit ribosomal RNA", at positions 1286 to 1500 of the family's 1533-position model. The record is from RNAcentral.
UCUCAGUUCGGAUUGGAGUCUGCAACCCGACUCCAUGAAGCUGGAUUCGCUAGUAAUCGCGCAUCAGCCACGGCGCGGUGAAUACGUUCCCGGGCCUUGUACACACCGCCCGUCAAGCCAUGGAAGCCGGGAGUGCCUGAAGUACGCGACCGCAAGGAGCGUCCUAAGGUAAAACCGGUGACUGGGGCUAAGUCGUAACAAGGUACC